Molecule: long non-coding RNA, 237 nt
Organism: Passer domesticus (house sparrow)
Lineage: Eukaryota; Metazoa; Chordata; Aves; Passeriformes; Passeridae
Exons: 3
Source: RefSeq, a predicted model, not a curated record
CACUACUAAAAGCAGCAGUUAGAUGUGGAAACUAAUUGAAAAUAUGUGAAAAGCAAGGUUAAUGUCUGACACUGCAGGUACACUUCUGCUGGUCAAUCUGAACAGAUGGAGCUUCAUUCACUGCUAUUGAGUAACUUCUGAGUCCAGCUGAGAAAACCAAACAUUGUCAGGUCCUCAAGUGAGAAGCAGAGAACACAGAAAUACCCAUGCACAAAUAUAAAUGAAGUUUUAAAGUGG